AGUUUGAUCCUGGCUCAGAUUGAACGCUGGCGGCAUGCCUUACACAUGCAAGUCGAACGGCAGCACGGGGGCAACCCUGGUGGCGAGUGGCGAACGGGUGAGUAAUACAUCGGAACGUGUCCUGUAGUGGGGGAUAGCCCGGCGAAAGCCGGAUUAAUACCGCAUACGCUCUACGGAGGAAAGGGGGGGAUCUUCGGACCUCUCGUUAUAGGGGCGGCCGAUGGCAGAUUAGCUAGUUGGUGGGGUAAAGGCCUACCAAGGCGACGAUCUGUAGCUGGUCUGAGAGGACGACCAGCCACACUGGGACUGAGACACGGCCCAGACUCCUACGGGAGGCAGCAGUGGGGAAUUUUGGACAAUGGGCGCAAGCCUGAUCCAGCAAUGCCGCGUGUGUGAAGAAGGCCUUCGGGUUGUAAAGCACUUUUGUCCGGAAAGAAAACCUCUGCCCUAAUACGGCGGGGGGAUGACGGUACCGGAAGAAUAAGCACCGGCUAACUACGUGCCAGCAGCCGCGGUAAUACGUAGGGUGCAAGCGUUAAUCGGAAUUACUGGGCGUAAAGCGUGCGCAGGCGGUCCGCUAAGACAGAUGUGAAAUCCCCGGGCUUAACCUGGGAACUGCAUUUGUGACUGGCGGGCUAGAGUAUGGCAGAGGGGGGUAGAAUUCCACGUGUAGCAGUGAAAUGCGUAGAGAUGUGGAGGAAUACCGAUGGCGAAGGCAGCCCCCUGGGCCAAUACUGACGCUCAUGCACGAAAGCGUGGGGAGCAAACAGGAUUAGAUACCCUGGUAGUCCACGCCCUAAACGAUGUCAACUGGUUGUCGGGUCUUCAUUGACUUGGAACGUAGCUAACGCGUGAAGUUGACCGCCUGGGGAGUACGGGUCGCAAGAUUAAACUCAAAGGAAUUGACGG
This 909-nucleotide ribosomal RNA is filed under the name uncultured bacterium. Its description in RNAcentral is "bacterial SSU rRNA". It matches the Rfam family "Bacterial small subunit ribosomal RNA", at positions 10 to 916 of the family's 1533-position model. The record is from RNAcentral.